AUUGAACGCUGGCGGUAUGCUUAACACAUGCAAGUCGAACGGUAACAUGGGAGCUUGCUCCUGAUGACGAGUGGCGGACGGGUGCGUAACGCGUGGGAAUCUACCUUGUAGUGGGGGAUAGCCCGGAGAAAUCCGGAUUAAUACCGCAUAAUCUCUACGGAGGAAAAGGGGCCUCUCCUUGGAAGCUCUUGCUAUUAGAUGAGCCCGCGUUAGAUUAGCUAGUUGGUGGGGUAAUGGCUCACCAAGG
This 247-nucleotide ribosomal RNA is filed under the name uncultured Gammaproteobacteria bacterium. RNAcentral's name for it is "partial 16S ribosomal RNA". It matches the Rfam family "Bacterial small subunit ribosomal RNA", at positions 30 to 273 of the family's 1533-position model. The record is from RNAcentral. Lineage: Bacteria; Pseudomonadati; Pseudomonadota; Gammaproteobacteria.